Podarcis lilfordi (Lilford's wall lizard) is the source of this 4316-nucleotide non-coding RNA. Lineage: Eukaryota; Metazoa; Chordata; Lepidosauria; Squamata; Lacertidae. The record is from the annotation of a GenBank genome assembly.
GAGCCGCGUCAGAGCGCGGCUCCGCGCAGGCGCUGCGCGCAAGGCCUCAUGGGAGCUGUAGUUCGAAAAGGCGCAGCCAGGGUCUUCUCCUCCUCCUCCCCCACCACCACCCUCCCCUCACAAAAAGCGGCGAUGUGACGCAGAGCUUUUUCGCUUUGGCAGCUGCUUGUUGUUAUAGCAGCCCCGCCUCCAGCAACUGUUGCUAAGGGGACGGGGAACUACCCGCUGCUGAAGAGGCAAGGGGGCCUGUGGCGCUGCUGGAGGAGGGGGUUUCGCACGGCUGGCUCGUGACUUGGCGCUUUCCCUUUCUCCUCGCACCCGAAGCGGCCCCCCCCCCCAAUAUAUAUGCCAGCCCCAACCCCCCAUACUCUGCUUCAGUUUAAGCCAGGUUUAAAUAAAUGUGUCGCCGGACUCUAGAUGGAACUGGUUCUUGGGCUGUCAUUUAUAAAGGAGGGAUCAACGACUGCGGAAACCAAACUGAAAAUAAAUGGAGCAAAGGUCAUCACCACACGCACCGAAAGUACAAAUCAGUGGCAGGAACGAAACGUCACACCGACAUAUCUUCGUGUAUUUGCUUUUAGAAAUGGCCUUUUUGGAGGGCACCUGAAGCUGCUGGACAUUAUUACAUAGCUGUAAGCGCGCCAAGGAUAUAUUUGAUAUGAACCCUGAUUUUUGGUAAGUGACAUAACGCGAUUGGUAUCCAAUCUCUUCCUGUGUCAUAAAAAUCAGCUCAAGUUUCAGGUGCAGGUAAGUCCGAGGCCAUUCUUCAUCCUGAAUAUAGUAUGUUCUACUUUUGGGUGUGGAUCUAAAAAUCAAGAUCAUCCAGGAAGUAGGGCAAAUAUUUGUCAUUCAAAAAUUAGUACUAUUGCCUCGUUUAAUAGAUUUGAAGGUCCUGCACGCAUAGGUUUUGACUUUGCUUGCUGUGACUACUUAAAGAAAAAGAAAAAAACUGGCCAAACAAGGAAACUGUCAACAAAAGAAAGGGCCUUCAGUUGAGUAUUCAUAGCCAUGAGAGAGCCAUAUAUAAUGAGCUGGAUCCCACACCCAGACUAAGGUAUAUGGAGAACAAAGUGUCCUUUCUUGACCUAGUAAUAGUCCUUUCCAUUUUCAACAGGAUUCAGGCACCUUUGACCUUCCAGAUCUUGUGGCCUCCAGUUUGAUCAGCCACAGCUGGCAUGGCCAAUGGUCAGGGAUGUUAAGUGUAAUAGGUACUGAAAAGCAAAUGAGCAGCAGAGGAAGUAGUAGGGGAUGUGGAUUUCUCCUUAACCAGGCACACCCUGGUUGGGAAAAACACCGAAGCAGUGCAUCUGGUGACAAGGGAAAAGCGGAUUGGCUUUGGGUGUAUUUUUCGAUAUCUGGAUUAUCCCUGGAUAGGGGAGAUCUGAAAAGGAGUGAGAUAGGGGCUAGUGGUGGAGACUGUCGUGUGGGCAAUGGUUAAAAACUUCAGGGACAAAGAGCAUUAAACACACAGUAAAUGCUACUGUGAACAAGCCCAGAGUUGUAGCCCAUCUGAAGGGACACAGGCUCCCCAUGCCUGAUUUGCAAUUUUGUAUUGUGCUUUUGUGUGCUCAAAGUACUUCACAGGCAUUAAGCCUGUGAGGUAGAUGAGCUUUAUUCUCCUCAUAGUGGAGGGUGCGGGGUAAGGCUUGAAUGACAGCUACUUCCCUUGGGUGUUGUGAAGGGAUGGCUCAGAGCCAGACCAUAGCUCUCUUGCCCCUUUCCUCCCCCUUUAAAAAAAAUCUUAAAAAUAAUUGUUUACCUUUGCCUACAGGACAACAAGCUUCAGUCAGUGACAAGGUUGGGCAUGGCAAACCCAAGACCAGCAGAGGGCCCACUGUCCUAACAGCACUCCCAUUUUCACAUUUCAACAAAGUAUCUGAAAGGGUCAUAUGUAGCCUAAGAGAAAUCUCAGUUUGCAUGCCCCACGUCUUCCAGGUUGGAUGUCCCCACUGUGGGUGAUCUGUCCAAGGGCUCCAAAAUCCUGGAGCCAGGACUGAGUAGGAAAGCCAUAUUCCUGGGGUUACACUAGAUUGGUCUCAAUUAGACAACUGGCCUGUGAGGGCAAGCUACAACAUUUAAAACACAACUUUAACAUUAAAAUACAAUAUUGCACAAUAUUACAAAAAAAGUUCAAAGCGACUUAAAAUUGCAAAAUUAAGGUGGAUCCUAAAAAUAUACACCUCAAGUCACAGUAAAGAGAUGUAUCUUCAGCAUUCGCCAAAAGCUGUAUAAUGAUGGUGCCAAACACACUAUUCUAAUCAUUCUAAUCCUCUGAGCUCCUUUUUCUAUUCCAAAAGCCCUCUUUCUGAUCUAUGGGUUUUGCAACUGAGCUACAGCUCCACACAGGACCCUCAAUUAUUGCUCUCCUCAAGCCUUGAGGCAGCAGGAUUAAAAUCUGCUCAAAUGAGACUUGAAUCUACGCCUCCUGUUCCUAGUUGCAUUGACCCCCCCCCCAUUAGCUACAAAGCCUUGUGCACAGUUACCUGCUGUGUGCUUGCUGUUAUCUUUUCCAUCCGUCCCUCAUGCAUGUGCCUCUCUGCCUCUGCAAGUAUUGGUCCUCCUCAGAGGGCAGUGGCGCUGUCAGGACAGGACAUCGGGGCAGAGGUCCAGGGCCCUGCUUAGCCGAGCUGGAGGACUUCCAAAUUCAGGACAGGGCUGGCUGAUCACAUUUUGAAGCAAGUGAACUGCUGUCUAAAGAGGAAGCUCCAUUAAAUCCAGAGUCACAAAUAACCCAACUGCACCACUGCCAGAGAGACAGCAACGCAGGAGUGUGGUGUGUGCAGCAUUAUAGAAACAGCGUCUCCGCACAAAGGCACCGUUCCCAUAGCAGGACUCAGAACCUUCUCCUGGGAUGCCAUGGGUUCUCCCUGCUGGCUUUUCGUUAUAGCACGGUGUCAGCUAGUACUGUGGAAAGAGCUGUAGUCUCUUCUCUACUCAGUGGUUGUUUGUUUGGCCACCUUUGGAGGCUGGAUGGUGCAGUCCAUACAUGUAUAACUUUAUCAUAUAGAAUCGUAGGACUGUAGAAUUGGAAGGGACCAUGAGGAUCAAUCUUGUUCAACCUCCUGCGAUUUAGGAAUCUUUCACCCAACAUGGGGCUCGAACCCAUGACCUUGAGAUUAAGAGUCUCAUGCUCUACCAACUGAGCUAUCUGGGGGCCUUAGCAACAGGCUGCAGAGUUUCCAGCAAUACUGCGUGAACACUUCCUAUUAUUGCUGCAUUAGCUUUUGUUUUGACAGGUACUGUUUACUCUGCUGCCCAGAGAGCAUAGGAUCUUGACUGUGCUAUCCUAGCAUUAGCCCUGCCGAAGCUGCACUUGCAAAACAGUGCUAUAUGAUCUGCCCAUCUGACUUUUUACCACACAAUGUAGUUUUUUUAACCAACAUGCAUUAGAGUAGUCCUAUUAAAGCCAUUAUUUUUGGCCUCAGUUCAUAGGCACCAACUCUAAGGGGCCCAGAUCCCAAUAAAAUAUUUGAGGGGUAGUCGCCCCACAUUGAGAGCAAUUGGGGCAGAGGAGGUUGAGCGUGAAGCUGAACAUGGCACAGCUUCAGUGGCUGACGAUUCCUCCUCCUCUUCUUGCCACAGAGAGGAAGGAGUGGGGAAGCAGCCCUGGGCUGGUGGCGGCAGAAAGAGGAGGAGGUGGAGACUGAGUACCAGAGAGAAGGAGCCGCCAGCCACUUAAGCCAUACUGCCGCCAUGUUUGGCUCCACUCCCUGGCACCUCCCGGCAUCCCUGUGUCACAUACACGUAAUGUGUGUGCCAUCACCCCCCCUCCCAAUCUUCUGCUAGGUUGGCAACUCUGCUUCAAUUAAAGUUUUGCAGACACAGUUUUCUUCCCCUCAACAGCGGUUGAAAGUCCAGCAUAGCUUUUUCUGCUCAGGCUUGGACAGUGUUCUUUUGGAGGAGUGUCCACUGUAGACUUACCUUAUCCUUUGCGAGAUAGAAAGUGACACACACUAAAAAUCGAAUCACACAUAUUUUAUAUUGGAACUGGAGCUACAAUUUCCAUAUUCCUUCAUACCCUUCCUACAACCCCGGCUGAAUGAAAAUCAUUUACAAAUUCUGCUGUUUAACUGGUCAAAGAGGUCAUAUGACGCAUGGACACCAUUUUCCAUUGUCCAGAAAAACUCCUUGCAACUAUUAGGCCGUGGCCUCCAUGUUAACCGGACAAUAGUUUAGUGUUCUCUGGGAUAUGGGAACACCACCAUUUUCAUUCCUGUACAUUUAUUACUAUAGAUGGUUGGCACAAUCAACAAAGACUUUCCCAAGAUGAAUGGUGUUACUAUAAGAAACACUGAAUAAACCCUUUUGCUUUCCUG